Molecule: ribosomal RNA, 429 nt
Filed under: Chloroflexota bacterium
Lineage: Bacteria; Bacillati; Chloroflexota
Also listed under: 1 other name
Description: Chloroflexi bacterium partial 16S ribosomal RNA
Rfam family: Bacterial small subunit ribosomal RNA
Source: RNAcentral
UAGGGAAUCUUCGGCAAUGGACGAAAGUCUGACCGAGCAACGCCGCGUGAGUGAAGAAGGUUUUCGGAUCGUAAAACUCUGUUGUUAGAGAAGAACAAGGACGUUAGUAACUGAACGUCCCCUGACGGUAUCUAACCAGAAAGCCACGGCUAACUACGUGCCAGCAGCCGCGGUAAUACGUAGGUGGCAAGCGUUGUCCGGAUUUAUUGGGCGUAAAGCGAGCGCAGGCGGUUUCUUAAGUCUGAUGUGAAAGCCCCCGGCUCAACCGGGGAGGGUCAUUGGAAACUGGGAGACUUGAGUGCAGAAGAGGAGAGUGGAAUUCCAUGUGUAGCGGUGAAAUGCGUAGAUAUAUAGAGGAACACCAGUGGCGAAGGCGGCUCUCUGGUCUGUAACUGACGCUGAGGCUCGAAAGCGUGGGGAGCAAACAGG